Molecule: ribosomal RNA, 26 nt
Filed under: Candidatus Tremblayella princeps
Lineage: Bacteria; Pseudomonadati; Pseudomonadota; Betaproteobacteria
Description: Candidatus Tremblaya princeps partial 16S ribosomal RNA
Source: RNAcentral
AGAUUGAACGCUUGCGGUAUGCAUAA